GACGAACGCUGGCGGCGUGCCUAAUACAUGCAAGUAGAACGCUGAAGAGAGGAGCUUGCUCUUCUUGGAUGAGUUGCGAACGGGUGAGUAACGCGUAGGUAACCUGCCUUGUAGCGGGGGAUAACUAUUGGAAACGAUAGCUAAUACCGCAUAACAAUGGAUGACACAUGUCAUUUAUUUGAAAGGGGCAAUUGCUCCACUACAAGAUGGACCUGCGUUGUAUUAGCUAGUAGGUGAGGUAAUGGCUCACCUAGGCGACGAUACAUAGCCGACCUGAGAGGGUGAUCGGCCACACUGGGACCGAGACACGGCCCAGACUCCUACGGGAGGCAGCAGUAGGGAAUCUUCGGCAAUGGGGGCAACCCUGACCGAGCAACGCCGCGUGAGUGAAGAAGGUUUUCGGAUCGUAAAGCUCUGUUGUAAGUCAAGAACGGGUGUGAGAGUGGAAAGUUCACACUGUGACGGUAGCUUACCAGAAAGGGACGGCUAACUACGUG
This 497-nucleotide ribosomal RNA is filed under the name uncultured bacterium. Its description in RNAcentral is "partial 16S ribosomal RNA". It matches the Rfam family "Bacterial small subunit ribosomal RNA", at positions 28 to 507 of the family's 1533-position model. The record is from RNAcentral.